GUAGGUGGCAAGCGUUGUCCGGAAUUAUUGGGCGUAAAGCGCGCGCAGGCGGGGUUCGUUUAAGUCUGAUGUGAAAGCCCACGGGCUCAACCGUGGAGGGUCCUUGGAAACUGGAGAACUUGAGUACAGAAGAGGAAAGCGGAAUUCCACGUGUAGCGGUGAAAUGCGUAGAGAUGUGGAGGAACACCAGUGGCGAAGGCGGCUUUCUGGUCUGUAACUGACGCUGAGGCGCGAAAGCGUGGGGAGCAAACAGGAUUAGAUACCCUGGUAGUCCACGCCGUAAACGAUGAGUGCUAAGUGUUAGGGGGUUUCCGCCCCUUAGUGCUGCAGCUAACGCAUUAAGCACUCCGCCUGGGGAGUACGGCCGCAAGGCUG
This 375-nucleotide ribosomal RNA is filed under the name uncultured organism. RNAcentral describes it as "partial 16S ribosomal RNA". It matches the Rfam family "Bacterial small subunit ribosomal RNA", at positions 527 to 896 of the family's 1533-position model. The record is from RNAcentral.